UACAGAGGUCUCAAGCGUUUGUUCGGAUUCAUUGGGCGUAAAGGGUGCGUAGGCGGCGGGGUAAGUCUGAUGUGAAAUCCCGGGGCUCAACCCCGGAACUGCAUUGGAUACUGCCCUGCUUGAGUACUGGAGAGGAGACUGGAAUUUACGGUGUAGCAGUGAAAUGCGUAGAGAUCGUAAGGAAGACCAGUGGCGAAGGCGAGUCUCUGGACAGUUACUGACGCUGAGGCACGAAGGCGUGGGGAGCAAACA
Molecule: ribosomal RNA, 252 nt
Filed under: uncultured bacterium
Lineage: Bacteria
Description: partial 16S ribosomal RNA
Rfam family: Bacterial small subunit ribosomal RNA
Source: RNAcentral